GUGUCAGCAACUGAAGUCUAUACAGGAAAAGGCAGAGCUGAUUCACAGGGAGAAACUAAGUCCUGAUGACAUCACCUGACCCCUGAAUCCAGCUCUGGCUAGCUGUGCCUGGACUUCGAAGUUAGAUGAGGAAACUGAAGCACAGAGUUAACUUAUCCAGUUACACUGUAAACGACAGAGGCAGGAUUCAAAUCCAGGCAGCCCGACAACUCCUACUUUUACCACGACACUGAUUCUGAGCCCACAAGCAACUAAGGUUCUAAUGCUAUUCCAACAGAGUAAAAACUCAAAGUCCAGCACUCCCAAAAGCACCAAAUGUGACAGUGAAAUAUCACCUUUUAAUUCUGAAACAGGGUUAACAUAGUUCUGCAUUAUAAAAA
Long non-coding RNA from Homo sapiens (human), 380 nucleotides. The record is from Ensembl. Lineage: Eukaryota; Metazoa; Chordata; Mammalia; Primates; Hominidae.